This 71-nucleotide transfer RNA is filed under the name Anguilla anguilla (European eel). RNAcentral's name for it is "tRNA-OTHER". Lineage: Eukaryota; Metazoa; Chordata; Actinopteri; Anguilliformes; Anguillidae. The record is from RNAcentral.
UUAUUGGUGGCCCAGUGGUAGAGCUCCCACCUGCCACACCAGCGGUCCGGGUUCGUAUCCUGGCCAAUGCC